RNAcentral lists this ribosomal RNA (1017 nucleotides) under uncultured bacterium. RNAcentral's name for it is "bacterial SSU rRNA". It matches the Rfam family "Bacterial small subunit ribosomal RNA", at positions 355 to 1375 of the family's 1533-position model. The record is from RNAcentral. RNAcentral also lists the same sequence under 1 other name.
UGAGGAAUAUUGGUCAAUGGACGAGAGUCUGAACCAGCCAAGUAGCGUGAAGGAUGACUGCCCUAUGGGUUGUAAACUUCUUUUAUACGGGAAUAAAGUGAGGCACGUGUGCCUUUUUGUAUGUACCGUAUGAAUAAGGAUCGGCUAACUCCGUGCCAGCAGCCGCGGUAAUACGGAGGAUCCGAGCGUUAUCCGGAUUUAUUGGGUUUAAAGGGAGCGUAGGCGGACGCUUAAGUCAGUUGUGAAAGUUUGCGGCUCAACCGUAAAAUUGCAGUUGAUACUGGGUGUCUUGAGUACAGUAGAGGCAGGCGGAAUUCGUGGUGUAGCGGUGAAAUGCUUAGAUAUCACGAAGAACUCCGAUUGCGAAGGCAGCUUGCUGGACUGUAACUGACGCUGAUGCUCGAAAGUGUGGGUAUCAAACAGGAUUAGAUACCCUGGUAGUCCACACAGUAAACGAUGAAUACUCGCUGUUUGCGAUAUACAGUAAGCGGCCAAGCGAAAGCGUUAAGUAUUCCACCUGGGGAGUACGCCGGCAACGGUGAAACUCAAAGGAAUUGACGGGGGCCCGCACAAGCGGAGGAACAUGUGGUUUAAUUCGAUGAUACGCGAGGAACCUUACCCGGGCUUGAAUUGCAACUGAAUGAUGUGGAGACAUGUCAGCCGCAAGGCAGUUGUGAAGGUGCUGCAUGGUUGUCGUCAGCUCGUGCCGUGAGGUGUCGGCUUAAGUGCCAUAACGAGCGCAACCCUUAUCGAUAGUUACCAUCAGGUUAUGCUGGGGACUCUGUCGAGACUGCCGUCGUAAGAUGUGAGGAAGGUGGGGAUGACGUCAAAUCAGCACGGCCCUUACGUCCGGGGCUACACACGUGUUACAAUGGGGGGUACAGAAGGCAGCUACACGGCGACGUGAUGCUAAUCCCGAAAGCCUCUCUCAGUUCGGAUUGGAGUCUGCAACCCGACUCCAUGAAGCUGGAUUCGCUAGUAAUCGCGCAUCAGCCACGGCACGGUGAAUACGUUCCC